CAAAGCCAUUUGGACUGCAGGGAAGAACAAACCAUGAAGUGUGGCCACAAUGUGUUAAGGGAGGAAGACACAAGAUUAAAGCAUAUCCUUCGAUUGGCAGACUAUGAUUCAGCAGCAACUUCUCUUCCAUUAGCUUUCUCAUUCAUGGAGUUUUCAGUGUCACCCUCAAGCUGGCUUAAGUUGCCCUUUUCCUUGAUGAGUUGGUUGUGGUGGUGUUUG
This 219-nucleotide unclassified non-coding RNA is filed under the name Hevea brasiliensis (rubber tree). The record is from RNAcentral. Lineage: Eukaryota; Viridiplantae; Streptophyta; Magnoliopsida; Malpighiales; Euphorbiaceae.